Long non-coding RNA from Anthonomus grandis grandis, 1956 nucleotides. RefSeq lists it as uncharacterized. NCBI's taxonomy places the organism in Eukaryota, Metazoa, Arthropoda, Insecta, Coleoptera, Curculionidae. The record is from RefSeq and is a predicted model, not a curated record. The transcript has 3 exons.
AAUCACUCAUUUUCUUAAUGUGUAUUUUUAGACUAAUCCAACAAUUUAAAAUACAAUUUUAAAACGAAUAUCAGGGAUUAGCCAAACAACAAUUUAGAGGUUAUGUUCAUAUUCGGAAGAUCGGCGUUGACUGGCUACACCAUAUACUUAUAACCUCUUAUGGGGUUUAUAAGUAUAUGGGCUACAAUAAUUUUUUGACACUUUGCUUGAAAUAAAUCCGAAAACAAGUCUGACUAUCAGAUGACAAUCAGAAAUUUGUGUAAGAACAUCAAACUUUUGAAAACCGAUCAGAAGUUUCUGUGCGAACGCAUUUUACUCUAUUGCGCUUGUUUAUUUGUCGAAAACUUAUUUCUUACUGCUGUGAGAACAAACCUUUAAGGUACGCGCACAUACAACGGCAUCGCACGGACGGCACGGAGGAGACGGAGACGCCACUAAAAAGCACCCGAUUCCCGCCGGUGAUCGUGUAUGUUCGGAGAACAAUUCGGUCGUUUGAUGUGAAUGACACGAAUGUUCCCGCUUUUUUUGCCUUUGUUGGGUAACAAUGUUUACUUUUGUAAAAAAGCUCCAACUAAUUUGAUCGACUAUUGCGAUUAUACUGAACUUUCCUUUGUUUCUUUGUGAAAUAUUGACCAUACCGUUGCUUAUAGUGUUUUAAAAUAAUACCUGAAAAGCUGUAUUAAUUCCAAUUCAGCGAUUUUAGCUGUAAAGAUGGACUCUACUUAAAACCAUCAGAAUCAGGACCAAACUAUCAACAAAAAUAUGUGCCACUUAUGCAGUAAAAUGUUUUAUUCCAUUUCAGCUAAGAACAAACAUAUAUUAAGGUUAUUCAUAACCAGCAGCUCCCAGAUAACCCAAAGUCACAUAUUUCUUGUCCCUUAUGCAAAGAGAUGAAAAAUUCUUGUGAGACUUAUCAAAAACUUGAAGCUCAUUUACAGGUAAGUCAUGAUAUCAAAAUAGAGUCCUCAACAUUUCAUUUUUCCAGAGAAGAAAGAUUUGAGGAAUGGUUAAGAGAGCAUAAAAUAAGCACAAACUAUGCACUUGUUUGCACAAGGAAAUUUGAAGACAAGAUUGAAAAAGUAUAUUGUUGCAAUCGAAGUGAUUUUAGAGGAUUUGAAAGCAAAUGUAGUAAGAGAACAAUAAAAUGUAGUGGUUCCAUUAAAAUGAAUGGUGUAUGUCCUUCUCAUUUAAAUGUCAAGAUUUAUGGUGCAGGUAGCAUUAUAUAGUCCUUUAGGGUAUCCACACAACGAGCCUGGAUGAUCACCAGUAGCAUGGCUGUAAGCCUUAUUUUUGUAUUGUCUUUAUGAUGUGUGAGCAAAGAAAGGGAAGCGAUUCUGUUUUAGGUGAACUCCUUGGGGAAUGUUCUUCCAAUAAUAUUGAAGCUAGCCAUAGUGUAGAAAUUGAAACGUUUGUUAAUGAGAGGACAACUGAAAAUCAACAAGUAGCAGUACAAUGAUUGAAACUUAUGAUAAGUGCAUGAGACAACUGACAUCAGUGAUGGAACAGGUAAAUAAGACAAAUACAGGUAAACGAAAAAUGGACAAACAAGUUUAUUUUCCAUCAAAGAAGAAGAAGGAGCAGUAAAUAAAAAUAAUAAAUUGUAUAUUUUUUUCUAUUUAUGGUUUAAGUAUAUAUGUAUAUGUGUAUUAUAAUUUUUUAUGUAAGUUUUAGGCAAAUAUUUGAAAAAACAUUACCUAUCUCAUAAGUUUCUUCUUUAGCAUAAAAAAAUUAAGUUUCUUUUCAAAUCAGUCAUAUACAUGUCUUUGCAGCAUUUAUAAAAUAAAACUUUUAAUAUAUGGUACGUUUAUAUAACAGUAUAACUAAUUAAAUCCAUUGUGUUUUCACUUACCAAAAUUACUUCUCUACCUAGGUAUAAAAGUUAUUAAAAAAAAUAGGUACUUAUUUCAAAAAGAUUAAUAACAUUUAUAUAUUUAAGAUUAAAAUUAAAGUGCAAUA